Long non-coding RNA from Cavia porcellus (domestic guinea pig), 355 nucleotides. RefSeq lists it as uncharacterized. Lineage: Eukaryota; Metazoa; Chordata; Mammalia; Rodentia; Caviidae. The transcript has 2 exons. The record is from RefSeq and is a predicted model, not a curated record.
UUUUGUUUCACGCAGGUUUUAGUGUGCACAAUGGACCACCAUAGGCACCGUGGAAUUGUACAGCCACUUCCAGGGCGCAAUUUCCCUCCUGCAUGACCAGCAGCUUUGAGGAUCUGGAAACUGACAAGGUAAUUUCUUCCAUACUCUACUGGUCAAAACAAGUCACAUGAUCAACCAAGAUGUAGAGCAAGGAACAGCCUCUACCCUCAAGAUAGGAAGAACAGACAGAAAAGAGAGUAGAAGAUGAGUACAGGACCAGAAGAAUUACUGCCAGUAUGACUCUUCGUAAACUUACCACAAUAUCAGGAAAAAAAGUCUUCAAAACUGUGAAGCAUUAGCUAUAAAACUGUGUAAG